AGAGUUUGAUCCUGGCUCAGAUUGAACGCUGGCGGCAUGCCUAACACAUGCAAGUCGAACGGCAGCACAGCCGUAGCAAUACGGUGGGUGGCGAGUGGCGGACGGGUGAGUAAAGCAUCGGGGCCUACCCAGACGUGGGGGAUAACCUCGGGAAACCGGGACUAAUACCGCAUACGUCCCACGGGAGAAAGCGGGGGACCUUCGGGCCUCGCGCGGUUGGACGGACCGAUGUGCGAUUAGCUAGUUGGUAGGGUAAUGGCCUACCAAGGCGACGAUCGCUAGCUGGUCUGAGAGGAUGAUCAGCCACACUGGGACUGAGACACGGCCCAGACUCCUACGGGAGGCAGCAGUGGGGAAUAUUGGACAAUGGGCGCAAGCCUGAUCCAGCAAUGCCGCGUGUGUGAAGAAGGCCUUCGGGUU
This 420-nucleotide ribosomal RNA is filed under the name uncultured bacterium. RNAcentral describes it as "bacterial SSU rRNA". It matches the Rfam family "Bacterial small subunit ribosomal RNA", at positions 8 to 424 of the family's 1533-position model. The record is from RNAcentral.